This 321-nucleotide ribosomal RNA is filed under the name uncultured eukaryote. Its description in RNAcentral is "partial 18S ribosomal RNA". It matches the Rfam family "Eukaryotic small subunit ribosomal RNA", at positions 1470 to 1796 of the family's 1831-position model. The record is from RNAcentral.
CCCUUAGAUGUUCUGGGCCGCACGCGUGCUACACUGAGUGGAUCAGCGGGUCAGGUUGCGCGAAAGCGUUUCCUAAUCUUUAAAUCCGCUCGUGAUGGGGAUUGACGGUUGCAAUUUUCUGUCAUGAACGAGGAAUACCUUGUAAGCGCGGGUCAUCAUCCCGCGCUGAAUACGUCCCUGCCCUUUGUACACACCGCCCGUCGCUCCUACCGAUUGAGUGGUCCGGUGAGGCUUUGGGAUCUGAGCGGAAAGAGCGUUUCGCUGUUUCUGCUCGGAAAACUCAGUCGAACCUUAUCAUUAGAGGAAGGAGAAGUCGUAACA